AUCCAGCUGACGAGUCUGAAUAGGAGGAAACGCAUGUUCUGGAU
Schistosoma haematobium is the source of this 44-nucleotide non-coding RNA. The record is from Rfam. Lineage: Eukaryota; Metazoa; Platyhelminthes; Trematoda; Strigeidida; Schistosomatidae.